RNAcentral lists this long non-coding RNA (1005 nucleotides) under Mytilus galloprovincialis (Mediterranean mussel). The record is from RNAcentral. Lineage: Eukaryota; Metazoa; Mollusca; Bivalvia; Mytilida; Mytilidae.
CCUGUCUCACAAAUCAAACAACAUAGGUAUUUUUUAUAGUUUAUAUCUACUGAUACCUAUAGAACAUGCUUCUCAGUCUGAUAAGUUAUGUUUAUAUCAUUACAUGUAACAGACAGGUUUACAUAUCAUAUGGGGGGUCCGUAGAUUUACUCUCACUAAUUAAGGUCUAUAAAUUGUAACUAAUUAUUUCCUUUUCAGAAUUAGGAUGGUGACUAAACUAAAACAACUUCACUAAAAUGUAUUCACAAUUUCUCUUAAAUUCAGUUAUUGAUUUUUUUUCAAUUUUUUUCCCAAUUUUUUUUUUUUUCAAUUUUAUCAGCUGAACAGAUGUUUGUAAAACGAAUAUUUUUUCCAUUAUUUUUUUUUAAUUUCUGUAAAAAAAAAUAAAAUGAAUCUAUCAAUUGUACAUGUAGCAGAUGUUGUAAGUGUUUGGUGGUAAUUAAAAUUAUGGUAUUUAAUAAACUGGAGAAAAACAGCUAUGAUUUGGUUUUGUAGAUCAAAAUCUUGAAAAAGAGCUUUAAUAUGUCAAAUUAGGAGUAUCAAAAAUUUAUGUAUACAGUAAUCAGACUUAACCAGAAAGCUGAGUGCUGACCAAUUAAUUUAGGUUCUGUAUUCUUUUCAAGAGUUUUACUUUGAAGAAUAUUAAUUAAAUAAAGGAAAAGUCAUGCAACUCAAAAUAAAAUGUUGAAAAGUGUUAGGCGUUAGAAAAUUGAAAUUGUGAAAUUUAUAUUUGGCCAUUUUUUUUUUUUUUUACAACAACAUUAGAUGAUAAUAUUGCAAUCUUAUAUCACAUUAAAUACCUCCCUUAUGGCACCUCAACAUUUUGUAACAUGUAUGCUUUACCCUGUUGGAUGAAAAUCAAGAGAUAACAGUCAAACAUUGCCAAGAUUUGUUUUGCUUUCUUCUCAGAUUUUUUCUCACAAAAAUGAAUUGUGCAGAGAAUGCAUACAUGUUAAUGUUCAAUUCUACGAAAUAUGCAUAUUACAUAUGCUUUGUUUUCUUACC